Molecule: ribosomal RNA, 813 nt
Filed under: Triticum aestivum (bread wheat)
Lineage: Eukaryota; Viridiplantae; Streptophyta; Magnoliopsida; Poales; Poaceae
Description: partial small subunit ribosomal RNA
Source: RNAcentral
AUGAAGUAUCUAAUAAGAUUAGCACAACACACGCGGGUUCUACAUGAAGAAAUGCUAGCACUGGACAGACUUGAGCACGCUUAUUAUGUAGCGGCUAUUCCUGUUAGGAAACAAAUUGAUGCUAUCAAGAACCAAAGGGGUGCGGUGAAGGUCUUAAAAUGCAAAUCGCUUUGGUCAAAGAGUAUGGACGAUAUUGUGGAGAAACUUGUGGAGAUUGUAGACUUCAUGCGCCUUCAAAUCAACGAAGCUUUCUGGAAGAGCCAUGCAGAUGCAAAGCAAUCAUCUGGAGAACUUCACAUAGCUAUCAACCUCAUGAAAACGUUAGGGGCUACUGGACUUGCGUUGCAUUAUGCUGAUGUCAUUCUGCAGCUAAAAGCUUUGGCAUUGGCAUCACCGGCGGUUCCUCAAAAUGCGGGGGAGGCAUUAUACCAAGCACUGCCUCCUGGGAUUAAGCCAGUUCUGCGCACCCAGCUGCGUAUUCCGGACAAAGAUCAGACCAUGACGCGAGCAGCGGUGAGAGCUGAAAUGAACAGAGUAUUGCGAUGGCUUGUGCCAGCUGCGGAAUCCACCAGGCGGUACCACGUGAAUGGGGUAUUCGGAGAAUGGGAGAUGAAAGGGAUUGAGGGUAUCGAUGUCAACGAAGCAAACUGGCUCGAACAAGAAAGUCGGAUCAGUGUCAGUUACAUGCUCGCCCAUGCAGAUGCCAAAGUGAGCAAGGUAGAGACGCUCUACUACGCCGACAAGGAGAGGGCCGAAGGUUACAUACUGGACCUUGUUCUGGCUCUUCAUCGUCUUGUUUCGCCCGCGGACUAG